RNAcentral lists this ribosomal RNA (420 nucleotides) under uncultured bacterium. RNAcentral's name for it is "bacterial SSU rRNA". It matches the Rfam family "Bacterial small subunit ribosomal RNA", at positions 356 to 773 of the family's 1533-position model. The record is from RNAcentral.
AGGGAAUAUUGGGCAAUGGACGCAAGUCUGACCCAGCCAUGCCGCGUGCAGGAAGACGGCCCUCUGGGUUGUAAACUGCUUUUAUCAGGGAAGAAGAGCAGGCAUGCGUGCCUGUGUGACGGUACCUGAGGAAUCAGCACCGGCUAACUCCGUGCCAGCAGCCGCGGUAAUACGGAGGGUGCAAGCGUUGUCCGGAUUUAUUGGGUUUAAAGGGUGCGUAGGUGGCCGUUUAAGUCAGCUUUGAAAGCUGGUCGCUCAACGAUCAGGGGUGGGUUGAUACUGGACGGCUUGGAUCAGGUGGCGGUUUCUGGAACGGGUCGUGUAGCGGUGAAAUGCAUAGAUAUGACCCAGAACUCCGAUUGCGAAGGCAGGAGGCUACGCCUGGAUUGACACUGAGGCACGAGAGCAUGGGGAGCAAAC